GACGAACGCUGGCGGCGUGCUUAACACAUGCAAGUCGAACGAUGAAGCCCUUCGGGGUGGAUUAGUGGCGAGCGGGUGAGUAACACGUGGGCAAUCUGCCCUUCACUCUGGGACAAGCCUUGGAAACGAGGUCUAAUACCGGAUAACACUCCCAUUCUCCUGGAUGGGGGUUAAAAGCUCCGGCGGUGAAGGAUGAGCCCGCGGCCUAUCAGCUUGUUGGUGAGGUAAUGGCUCACCAAGGCGACGACGGGUAGCCGGCCUGAGAGGGCGACCGGCCACACUGGGACUGAGACACGGCCCAGACUCCUACGGGAGGCAGCAGUGGGGAUAUUGCACAAUGGGCGAAAGCCUGAUGCAGCGACGCCGCGUGA
This 371-nucleotide ribosomal RNA is filed under the name uncultured bacterium. RNAcentral describes it as "bacterial SSU rRNA". It matches the Rfam family "Bacterial small subunit ribosomal RNA", at positions 28 to 404 of the family's 1533-position model. The record is from RNAcentral.